This is a long non-coding RNA of Neopelma chrysocephalum (saffron-crested tyrant-manakin), 985 nucleotides long. RefSeq lists it as uncharacterized. The record is from RefSeq and is a predicted model, not a curated record. NCBI's taxonomy places the organism in Eukaryota, Metazoa, Chordata, Aves, Passeriformes, Pipridae. The transcript is spliced from 2 exons.
GCAACACACCCUGUGCCCCCAUCCCUGUGCCCCCAGUGACCUUCUUUGGGGGAUAAACGCCCCCUGUGCCCCCAGUGACCCUUUUUGGGGGGCAACGCACCCCAUGACCCCACAGAUCUUUUUUGGGGGCCCAACACACCCCUAUGCCCCCACCGACCUUCUCUGGAGGACAGUGCACCCCUGUGCCCCCAUCCCUGUGCCCCCACGGGACCCUCUUUGGGGGGCAACACACCCCUGUGCCCCCAAUGACCCUUUUUGGGGGCCCAACACACCCCUGUGCCCCCACUGACCCUCUUUGGGGGGCAAAGCACCCCUCACCCCUGUGCCCCCAGUGACCCUCUCUGGGGGCAGUGCCCCCCCCCGUGCCCUGGCUUUGGGGGGACAGGGCUGGUUCAUCUCGCUGUCCCUUCUCCUGCCCCGGAUCCCUGUUCCUGCCCGGGCUGGGGGGGUGGGAUGGGACCCCCUCUCUCCUCAAAUCCACGAUUUCCCUUCCCAGCCAAGUGGGUUCUUGCCCAUCCCUUGGUCUCAGCCGGGCUCGGGCCCCUCUCCUUGGGCUGUGCUGCCCAUCCCAGUCCUGCCGCUCCCGGCUCCCAUCCCACACCCCUGAUCCAUGGGAUCCGUGUCUGUCCCACCCCGGCCCUGGGGGGGGGGGGCACAGGGCAGUUCCCCCCGUCUCCUUGGGAGCCCGAGGGAAGCCUGGAAUCCUCUGGAAUCCUCUGGAAUCCUGGGGGCCCUUCCCGCUGCCCCCUCCCCGCUGGGACCGGGGUCUCAUCCCAGCUCCCGCUCAGGUGGAUCCGGACGUGUUCUGUCAGCUGGGACAACUUGCUACAUCUCUUUUUUUUUGUUUUGUUUUAGUUUUUGUUUUGGUUUUUUUUGGUAAUGGUUUCUCCUGGUUUUUAGGGGAAAACAAACAAAAAAAAAAGAUGACCCACAAUUCUUGACUUGUAUCUCUGAAUGGAAAUAUUAAAUGUUCUCUUCUUUCUAA